This 429-nucleotide ribosomal RNA is filed under the name Bacteroidota bacterium. RNAcentral's name for it is "Bacteroidetes bacterium partial 16S ribosomal RNA". It matches the Rfam family "Bacterial small subunit ribosomal RNA", at positions 355 to 776 of the family's 1533-position model. The record is from RNAcentral. Lineage: Bacteria; Pseudomonadati; Bacteroidota.
UAGGGAAUCUUCCGCAAUGGACGCAAGUCUGACGGAGCAACGCCGCGUGAGUGAAGAAGGAUUUCGGUUCGUAAAACUCUGUUGUUAGAGAAGAACAGCGCAUAGAGUAACUGUUAUGCGUGUGACGGUAUCUAACCAGAAAGCCACGGCUAACUACGUGCCAGCAGCCGCGGUAAUACGUAGGUGGCAAGCGUUGUCCGGAUUUAUUGGGCGUAAAGCGAGCGCAGGCGGUCAAUUAAGUCUGAUGUGAAAGCCCCCGGCUCAACCGGGGAGGGUCAUUGGAAACUGGUUGACUUGAGUGCAGAAGAGGAGAGUAGAAUUCCAUGUGUAGCGGUGAAAUGCGUAGAUAUAUGGAGGAACACCAGUGGCGAAGGCGAAUCUAUGGUCUGUAACUGACGCUGAGGCUCGAAAGCGUGGGUAGCAAACAGG